RNAcentral lists this long non-coding RNA (361 nucleotides) under Manacus vitellinus (golden-collared manakin). Its description in RNAcentral is "lncRNA (ENSMVIG00005016116.1)". Lineage: Eukaryota; Metazoa; Chordata; Aves; Passeriformes; Pipridae. The record is from RNAcentral.
GACAGAAUUUGGACAGGAAACUAAAUCCACUUAUGAAAUGUUUCCUUUCUGCUUCUAAUUCUCAGGUGUCCUACAUUAGUCAAGACUGUGAAGAAAUUCCAGAAUUCCUAGGACGAAAAUAUGGACAUAUGGCAAAAAGGCUAGAUCUUAGCUUCAACUUGUUAAGGGUGCAGAUUAUUUCUACUAGGAGCAUGAAUAAUUUGCACAGUAUGUGCUUGUGCAUAAUUUCCACUCUCCGAUGAUGAAGGUGUAUAUAUGAAAACAUCCCCUUGAACUAUAAUCCUAAUCUGCAAUGUUCCUCCGUGACUUUCGUGAGGCUGAGCCUUUGUAAUAUCCUCUCUGUGGACUUGAGAUUGUUGUU